This 488-nucleotide ribosomal RNA is filed under the name uncultured bacterium. RNAcentral's name for it is "partial 16S ribosomal RNA". It matches the Rfam family "Bacterial small subunit ribosomal RNA", at positions 29 to 507 of the family's 1533-position model. The record is from RNAcentral.
ACGAACGCUGGCGGCGUGCUUAACACAUGCAAGUCGAACGGUGAAGGGAUCAGCUUGCUGGUUCUGGAUGAGUGGCGAACGGGUGAGUAACACGUGAGUAACCUGCCCCCUUCUUCUGGAUAACCGCAUGAAAGUGUGGCUAAUACGGGAUAUUCUGGGUCUGUCGCAUGAUGGGUCUGGGAAAGAUAUUGUUUCGGUGGGGGAUGGGCUCGCGGCCUAUCAGCUUGUUGGUGGGGUGAUGGCCUACCAAGGCGGUGACGGGUAGCCGGCCUGAGAGGGUGGACGGUCACACUGGGACUGAGACACGGCCCAGACUCCUACGGGAGGCAGCAGUGGGGAAUAUUGCACAAUGGGCGCAAGCCUGAUGCAGCGACGCCGCGUGAGGGAUGGAGGCCUUCGGGUUGUAAACCUCUUUCGCCAGUGAAGCAGGCCUGCUCCUUGUGGGUGGGUUGACGGUAGCUGGAUAAGAAGCGCCGGCUAACUACGUG